AAUAUAUCGGAACGUGCCCAGUCGUGGGGGAUAACGCAGCGAAAGCUGUGCUAAUACCGCAUACGAUCUCUGGAUGAAAGCGGGGGACUCAGCAAUGAGCCUCGCGCGAUUGGAGCGGCCGAUAUCAGAUUAGCUAGUUGGUGGGGUAAAAGCCUACCAAGGCGACGAUCUGUAGCUGGUCUGAGAGGACGACCAGCCACACUGGAACUGAGACACGGUCCAGACUCCUACGGGAGGCAGCAGUGGGGAAUUUUGGACAAUGGGCGAAAGCCUGAUCCAGCAAUGCCGCGUGCAGGAUGAAGGCCUUCGGGUUGUAAACUGCUUUUGUACGGAACGAAACGGUUCGCCUUAAUACGGUGGGCUAAUGACGGUACCGUAAGAAUAAGCACCGGCUAACUACGUGCCAGCAGCCGCGGUAAUACGUAGGGUGCGAGCGUUAAUCGGAAUUACUGGGCGUAAAGCGUGCGCAGGCGGUUAUAUAAGACAGAUGUGAGAUCCCCGGGCUCAACCUGGGACCUGCAUUUGUGACUGUAUAGCUAGAGUACGGUAGAGGGGGAUGGAAUUCCGCGUGUAGCAGUGAAAUGCGUAGAUAUGCGGAGGAACACCGAUGGCGAAGGCAAUCCCCUGGACCUGUACUGACGCUCAUGCACGAAAGCGUGGGGAGCAAACAGGAUUAGAUACCCUGGUAGA
This 690-nucleotide ribosomal RNA is filed under the name uncultured beta proteobacterium. RNAcentral describes it as "bacterial SSU rRNA". It matches the Rfam family "Bacterial small subunit ribosomal RNA", at positions 112 to 794 of the family's 1533-position model. Lineage: Bacteria; Pseudomonadati; Pseudomonadota; Betaproteobacteria. The record is from RNAcentral.